RNAcentral lists this long non-coding RNA (547 nucleotides) under Vigna radiata. Its description in RNAcentral is "long non-coding RNA (VRAD_LNC016013)". The record is from RNAcentral. Lineage: Eukaryota; Viridiplantae; Streptophyta; Magnoliopsida; Fabales; Fabaceae.
AGUUUCACUAUGACUAUGGUGAACUAAACCCUAUUGUUGUUGGGGGAAACAAUGUAAUCUUUUGAUGCUCUCUUUUAUUGAAACUCUUGAUUAUUUAUAUGGUCUCCAUAUGUUUUGGUUGUUAAUUGUUGGGUUAUCAUCUGUGCUUAAGGCCUUUAUCGUUUAACUCAUUCGCUAACUGAUGUUUGUCUUUAUUGAUAUGGGGACGUACAAAAAUGACAUGAACUGGUGAGUAAUUUCUUGAUUUUGCAAUACCACCUAGGGAUAGGGGUAGGACGAUCAAUUGUGCUAACUUCUGUUUAUAAUGCGGUAUUAAUUACUAGGGGAGGCUAGGGAUAGCAAGCCAGUAGUUAAUAUUAGGCCGUUUUCGCCGAGGGAUCGGGUUAAGGGGAGGCUAAGAAAGUCGCAUAACAAUUAAAUUAAUCAAACUAAUAUUCAAGGGUAGUAGGUAAGAGAGAGUGGAUUAGAUGAAAUUGUGAACCCCCAACAACAUCCAUUCAUCCAUUGUUUUCUUUUGUCAAUUGAAUCAACUUUAUUUUGCAUGUUA